Molecule: ribosomal RNA, 93 nt
Filed under: uncultured bacterium
Lineage: Bacteria
Description: partial 16S ribosomal RNA
Rfam family: Bacterial small subunit ribosomal RNA
Source: RNAcentral
CCGCCCGUCACGCCAUGGGAGCUGUGAGCGCCCGAAGUCCGUGUCGCAACCCGCAAGGGCAAGCGGCCGAAGGCGAGCGCAGUGACUGGGGCG